CCUCUUUUUCCUUUUUAGGUGUUCCUGGGAGUAAUUGCUGCACCAGGUGUUCCACAUCACCCUCAUCAGCAGGUUCAGGAGCAGGUGGAACGCUGCCAAUCAGACCUCACUCUCUCAGCAUUUAAGCAGACGCUACUCACCUCUCAGUGCCAGAUCGUGAUACAGCCUUUUCGGAUCUGCCUGGUCUCACCUGGAUUCUUCGCCGUCUUCUUCACUCGGGAUUAAUCCAUCACAGCCGUUCCUUGGCGUCUUCUCCAUACCUACCUGCCGUCUCAAGUUCUCCCUGGUUUUCGUCCACAUGAGGUCCUCCAGCGUGAGCCCAGUCCGAGCGUCAGCCUAGAUUCAGUUGUGAUUGUUUAUCGAAGUUAUUUUGGGUGGCAUUUUUGUGCCCUAUUGUUAUAGUUUAGCCUGUGUUUCCAGAAGUGUGCAUUCGAGCCUGUUGUUUGCGUUAGGGUUUAGAGC
Molecule: long non-coding RNA, 462 nt
Organism: Amphiprion ocellaris (clown anemonefish)
Lineage: Eukaryota; Metazoa; Chordata; Actinopteri; Pomacentridae
Source: Ensembl